RNAcentral lists this ribosomal RNA (465 nucleotides) under uncultured bacterium. RNAcentral's name for it is "partial 16S ribosomal RNA". It matches the Rfam family "Bacterial small subunit ribosomal RNA", at positions 28 to 507 of the family's 1533-position model. The record is from RNAcentral.
GAUGAACGCUGGCGGCGUGCUUAACACAUGCAAGUCGAACGGAAAGGCUCCUGCUUGCCGGGGUACUCGAGUGGCGAACGGGUGAGUAACACGUGGGUGAUCUGCCCUGCACUUCGGGAUAAGCCUGGGAAACUGGGUCUAAUACCGGAUAGGACCACAUUUUGGAUGGUGUGGUGGAAAGUUUUUCGGUGUGGGAUGAGCUCGCGGCCUAUCAGCUUGUUGGUGGGGUAAUGGCCUACCAAGGCGUCGACGGGUAGCCGGCCUGAGAGGGUGUACGGCCACAUGGGGACUGAGAUACGGCCCAGACUCCUACGGGAGGCAGCAGUGGGGAAUAUUGCACAAUGGGCGCAAGCCUGAUGCAGCGACGCCGCGUGGGGGAUGACGGCCUUCGGGUUGUAAACUCCUUUCGCUAGGGACGAAGCGCAAGUGACGGUACCUGGAGAAGAAGCACCGGCUAACUACGUG